CAGGUCUCAACAAUUGUUUCCUUAUUAUACCAUUCAGACUGAAACUGUCCUCAUUUAGAAAAAAUUGGAAGGAAAUCUGUAUUUGUGGCCUUCAGACAACAGGUAGCUGCCACUCUCUGUGAUUAGGAUUCUAUUCACUGAUGCCUUUCUGCAGCAUCACUGCACCUACAUGUUUGUCCACAAGAGAAACUGUGAACUGAAAAAGAAGAAAAUGAAGACAGAAAAAAA
RNAcentral lists this long non-coding RNA (228 nucleotides) under Numida meleagris (helmeted guineafowl). RNAcentral describes it as "lncRNA (ENSNMEG00000008519.1)". Lineage: Eukaryota; Metazoa; Chordata; Aves; Galliformes; Numididae. The record is from RNAcentral.